UCUUGUCAUAGGUCGUUCUUCUGGUUUUAAUAGUGAUAAGAUCCAUCUCUGGACUUCAUCCAUAUCUGCUCUUCGUAGUUCUCUUGAAUUUGAAUAUAUCAUUAAUUGAUCUCUCGAGUAAUAACUCCAUAUAGCAUUUCCGUUUAAAUAAUUGUUUGCUAACUCUUGUAUAAUAGUUGAUAUACCAAUUAUUCUUUUGUUGGCAUAAAAACUUGGUAUCUCUAUUUUGCAUAUCUCUUCCUGUUGUCUGAUGUCCUCGGGUAUAAUCAUAUCUUUAGUUAGUGCUAUCUUGAUAACCUAUAUUGGAGGUUUUAUUUCCUCGUAUAAUAUCUCCGCUGGUGCUGUAUAGAAUUUUAUGUAAAAUAAAUUU
RNAcentral lists this long non-coding RNA (370 nucleotides) under Solanum tuberosum (potato). Its description in RNAcentral is "long non-coding RNA (STUB_LNC009174)". The record is from RNAcentral. Lineage: Eukaryota; Viridiplantae; Streptophyta; Magnoliopsida; Solanales; Solanaceae.